RNAcentral lists this ribosomal RNA (776 nucleotides) under uncultured Neocallimastigales. RNAcentral describes it as "partial large subunit ribosomal RNA". It matches the Rfam family "Eukaryotic large subunit ribosomal RNA", at positions 24 to 649 of the family's 3401-position model. The record is from RNAcentral. Lineage: Eukaryota; Fungi; Neocallimastigomycota; Neocallimastigomycetes; Neocallimastigales.
UAUGUGAUCGUCUCUCGCAUAUCAAUAAGCGGAGGAAAAGAAACUAACAAGGAUUCCCCUAGUAACGGCGAGUGAAGCGGGAAGAGCUCAAAUUUGAAAUCUUAAAGGGUUUCCCUUUACGAAUUGUAGUUUAAAGAAGUGUUUUCUGUUGAGGUUUUGGUAAAAGUUCUUUGGAAUAGGACAUCAUAGAGGGUGAGAAUCCCGUAUUUGACCUUUACUUUCAACUUUGUGAUACACUUUCAAAGAGUCGGAUUGUUUGGGAAUGCAGUCCAAAAUGGGUGGUAAAUUUCAUCUAAAGCUAAAUAUUGGCGAGAGACCGAUAGCGAACAAGUACCGUGAGGGAAAGAUGAAAAGAACUUUGAAAAGAGAGUUAAACAGUACGUGAAAUUGUCAAAAGGGAAGCGUUUGACACCAGUGUUGUUUUUCUGAAAAUCAAUUAAAGAACUGUUUAUGCUAAGUUGUUUAGACUUUAUCAGCUAAUCUGCUUAGCUUUUGAGCUUUUCUUUAAUGCACUUUUCAGUUAACAAGUCAACAUCAAUUUCUUUUGCUGUAAAAAAGCUUGAGGAAGGUGGCUUGAGAUUCGUCUUAAGUGUUUAUAGCCUCUUGCCUAUGCAGUCGGAGAGAUUGAGGUCUGCAGCGUAGAUCCUUCGGGGCUAAAUGCAUUUGUGCUAAGUUAUAGCAUUUUAUAGACAACUUGUUGACUAUGAUUUGUCUUGUAGCUUACUCGCUUAUGUUAUUUUACCUACGCUUAGGAUGUUGAGUAGCGACAUACGCAC